GGCGUUGUGGCCGAGCGGUUAUGGCGAGAGGUUCAAGUUUUAAAGCUUAGGCUUUUUGUGCCUUUCUCUUGGGAGCGAUCCCUCACGUGUUCAAAUCACGUCAACGUCA
Molecule: transfer RNA, 109 nt
Filed under: Mixia osmundae IAM 14324
Lineage: Eukaryota; Fungi; Basidiomycota; Mixiomycetes; Mixiales; Mixiaceae
Rfam family: tRNA
About the family: Transfer RNA (tRNA) molecules are approximately 80 nucleotides in length. Their secondary structure includes four short double-helical elements and three loops (D, anti-codon, and T loops).
Source: Rfam by way of RNAcentral